Molecule: long non-coding RNA, 566 nt
Filed under: Fukomys damarensis (Damara mole-rat)
Lineage: Eukaryota; Metazoa; Chordata; Mammalia; Rodentia; Bathyergidae
Description: lncRNA (ENSFDAG00000028344.1)
Source: RNAcentral
GGCUUUCAUUCACGGUGGAUUCUUCGCUUGUGAAUUUGGCUCCAGCAGAAGAACUUGGUGGCCUGGGCUACAAGGUUUUCCCUCCGAGGAGCUGUGACGUCACGUCUGCCGUGGCCCUGCUGUUCCACUGGCCCAAGACCAAUUUCUUUAUAGAUGUCCCAGCUGGACAAUUUCUACCCCUGCAGCUAAGGCACAAUCAGAGAGAGAGAGAGAGGGAGAAGACGCCAGUCCUGGACACACAAAAAGGUCACCUACCAGGUGGCUGUGGCAGUGGCUUGACACAGCUGUGAGGAAGUGGCAGCAGAGGAAACCUAUACACUAAUAAUACUUACGCAAUGCCAGGCCCUUUGCUGAGGUCGCAGUGAAGCCUUGUUCCUGGGUUUGCGGGUGAAGGAAAGAGCAAGAAGGGGAGAAGGCAACAGGCUGGACAUGAAGUUGUUUCCCAACAGUUGGAGAGGUGAACAGCCACGGGAGGGGGACAGAAUCCUGAGAACUGUGCCUACCCUGAGCAUCCAGAAAGACACACUUACUUACGUCCUCGUGGGCAUGUUAGCUUUGACCUGGGC